Molecule: ribosomal RNA, 508 nt
Filed under: uncultured bacterium
Lineage: Bacteria
Description: bacterial SSU rRNA
Rfam family: Bacterial small subunit ribosomal RNA
Source: RNAcentral
GAANCUCUNAGACCCGCGNUAGCUAUCUAACAUGGUUGUUGNUNUAUAGGACUCACACUUGGCCGCUCGUUUUACAGCCUAACACAUGCAAGUCGAGCGGCAGCACAAGUGAGUUUACUCAUGAGGUGGCGAGCGGCGGACGGGUGAGUAAUGCCUAGGGAUCUGCCCAGUCGAGGGGGAUAACAGUUGGAAACGACUGCUAAUACCGCAUACGCCCUACGGGGGAAAGAGGGGGACCUUCGGGCCUCUCGCGAUUGGAUGAACCUAGGUGGGAUUAGCUAGUUGGUGAGGUAAUGGCUCACCAAGGCGACGAUCCUUAGCUGUUCUGAGAGGAUGAUCAGCCACACUGGGACUGAGACACGGCCCAGACUCCUACGGGAGGCAGCAGUGGGGAAUAUUGCACAAUGGGGGAAACCCUGAUGCAGCCAUGCCGCGUGUAGUGAAGAAGGCCUUCGGGUUGUAAAGCACUUUCAGGUANGGAGGAAAGGUUGUAAGUUAAUACCUUGCA